ACUCCUACGGGAGGCAGCAGUGGGGAAUAUUGCACAAUGGGGGAAACCCUGAUGCAGCCAUGCCGCGUGUGUGAAGAAGGCCUUCGGGUUGUAAAGCACUUUCAGUAGGGAGGAAGGUAUGUAGUUAACACCUGCACNAUUUGACGUUACCUACAGAAGAAGCACCGGCUAACUCCGUGCCAGCAGCCGCGGUAAUACGGAGGGUGCAAGCGUUAAUCGGAAUUACUGGGCGUAAAGCGUGCGCAGGCGGUCUGUUAAGCGAGAUGUGAAAGCCCCGGGCUCAACCUGGGAACUGCAUUUCGAAC
RNAcentral lists this ribosomal RNA (305 nucleotides) under uncultured bacterium. Its description in RNAcentral is "bacterial SSU rRNA". It matches the Rfam family "Bacterial small subunit ribosomal RNA", at positions 335 to 633 of the family's 1533-position model. The record is from RNAcentral.